RNAcentral lists this ribosomal RNA (850 nucleotides) under uncultured marine group I thaumarchaeote. RNAcentral's name for it is "SSU rRNA". It matches the Rfam family "Archaeal small subunit ribosomal RNA", at positions 25 to 881 of the family's 1478-position model. Lineage: Archaea; Thermoproteati; Nitrososphaerota. The record is from RNAcentral.
GACUGCUAUCGGAUGAUACUAAGCCAUGCGAGUCUUUGUAGUAAUACAAGGCAGACGGCUCAGUAACACGUAGUCAACCUACCCUAUGGACAAGAAUAAUCUCGGGAAACUGGGCAUAAUUCUUGAUAGAUCAUAAUGCCUGGAAUGGUUUAUGGUUAAAAUGAUUCGUCGCCAUAGGAUGGGACUGCGGCCUAUCAGCUUGUUGGUGAGGCAAUGGCCCACCAAGGCGAUUACAGGUACGGGCUCUGAGAGGAGAAGCCCGGAGAUGGGUACUGAGACACGGACCCAGGCCCUAUGGGGCGCAGCAGGCGAGAAAACUUUGCAAUGUGCGAAAGCACGACAAGGUUAAUCCGAGUGAUUUCUGCUAAAGAAAUCUUUUGCCAGUCAUAAAACCACUGGUGAAUAAGGGGUGGGCAAGUUCUGGUGUCAGCCGCCGCGGUAAAACCAGCACCUCAAGUGGUCAGGAUGAUUAUUGGGCCUAAAGCAUCCGUAGCCGGCUUUGUUAGUUUUCGGUUAAAUCCAUGUGCUCAACGCAUGGGCUGCCGAAAAUACUGCAUAGCUAGGGAGUGGGAGAGGUAGACGGUACUCAGUAGGAAGGGGUAAAAUCCUUUGAUCUAUUGAUGACCACCUGUGGCGAAGGCGGUCUACCAGAACACGUUCGACGGUGAGGGAUGAAAGCUGGGGGAGCAAACCGGAUUAGAUACCCGGGUAGUCCCAGCUGUAAACGAUGCAGACUCGAUGAUGCAUUGGCAUAAUAGCCAGUGCAGUGUCGCAGGGAAGCCGUUAAGUCUGCCGCCUGGGAAGUACGUACGCAAGUAUGAAACUUAAAGGAAUUGGCGGGGGAGCACCA